AAAAUAAAAGGCAGCAGGAAAAAAGACCAAAUACGAGAUGACUGACUCCAUAAAAGAAGCAGAGCUGAGUGGCUGUUGAGGAGAGGACAUUGUGGACUCAUUCAUAGAGUGGCCAGAAGUCAUAGUCAGGUUUACUCAUAUCAAGUUGGUUUUAGUAGUUAUCUGGCUAUGUUAUUUGUAGUUGUUGCAAUUCUGAAAACAAAUCAUUUUAAACAUUACACUUGGUACCAUAGGUAUUUGGUCAAGUUCCUGUACCUCUCCAGGCCUUAGUUUUGCACUAAAUUAAGGGGUUGAAAUAGAUUAUCUUAAGGGCCUUUCUAGCUUUAACAUACUAUUAUUUUCUGAUAUUCUAAAUUAAUAACUGGAAAAAAUGAAGAUUAAAAUAAAGAAUAUCCCUUGCAUUGUAACUAUGCUUUCAAUUAUUCAAUUAUAAUUUAUUAUUACUUGUUAUUAAUACAUACUAAUUAUUAUCUUCCAAAUAAGGGACAGAGUAACUUUUCAGUUUCGGUAACAAUAAGUUUCUUAUAGGUUAAACCUUUCUGUUUCCUAUGUAUGUUGAGAACGCUAGGCAGUAAAAUAUAAUUAUUUUAAAACCAUACACUGUAAAAUGAGAUUUUGCAGCGAUGCUGUUAACACUUGCAUCUUGAUUCUCAGAGAACAAUUAUAAAUGUGAUAAACUAAGAAGGGAAACUAAAACUGGUUCUGUUUCUGUCUGAUUAUAGAUAACAGGUUAGGUUAUAUAUUAUUGUCAGUGAAAAAGAUAAAAUUUAUCAGCAGAAAAUAUUUUUAUUCAUAACAGAAUUCAUUUAAUCAAUUAUUUAGACUCAAUAAAAGUUUUCUUCUCCCCAUAGUUGCAUAUUCUAUUUGGGGAAGAGUCUAGACUGUUAUUUGAUCUAUAUAAUAAUAAUAAUAAUAUGUAAGCUAGCCAGCAGCAGUACUCUUAUGGCUGCCAUUUAUUGAGCACUUAUGUGCCAGUACUUUACAUAAAUGAUCUCAUUUAAUCUUUAGCAGCAAUUUUUUGAAGUAGGUAUUAUUAGCUAGUGUUGCAAGGUAACCUGCUCAAAGUCCCACAAGGAGUAAUCCUUCAAGCCAGGAUCUCUCUGUCCAAACUUUGCUCCUUUAACUCUUCUAAUCCAAGCUGUAAGAACCUCAGGGAGACUAGACCAAGCGUCUUAAUUCCACACAUAGUUCAUAGCCUCAGUAAGACAGUGAAAUUCCUAUACCGCAGACUGAGUGUGAAUUCUUUUGAGAGAUGUGACUGUCAACUUAAUUCCCUAUACACAUGGCCUUCUGUAUAGUAUCAGGUUCAUCUGUCAGUCUCUGAAUCAGGCUUUGGUGAGUGGUCAAAAUUAAAAUCACUCAUAUUGGAAUGUCUGCUGUGCUUUAUUUCAUUGUCUGUCUAUAAGCAGAGGAUACACAGACAGCUUCUGGGAGUUUAAAGUAGAGGAAGACUUUUGUAGCUUCUUAACAAGCAAGCCUACCUCCCCUUUUGAGUGGCAGUCCUUCAUAGGCUUGCCGAGGGAGACAGUUUCCCACGGCCCCCUGCUGGCUCUGAGUGAACAGAUUCUCAGCCCCCUGCUGACUGCGGAAUAUGUCGCUUAUCCCCAUCUCAACUCUUUACCGACAGCCUUCAAAAUGACUUGUUUAGAAGACAGAUGGCAUGGCAGAAUCUCUGACAACCGAUUAAGGAAGAAUACAAUAGAUUCCUGCCAAAUAUCCCUACCAUUUCAAUGUGAACUAACAGCAGUUUUUGUCAUGAUGGAAAAAGGAAAGGAUGAUGUUAAGAACUGUUGUCUUCUGUCAAAAGCAGCAUACCGUCUAUUUGCAUUGUGUUUAGAGAGGAUUUAAUGAAGUCAACAUAUAGGUUAUGCAUAGCAUUUUGCCUUUGCACAUGCUGUUCCCUCUGCAUGGAAUCCCUUCUCCUUCUCUGCCUACCUUUCCAGAGCCAGCCCAAAUGAUACAUUCAAUAUGAGCCCUUUCCAGAUUCCCAUGGCGUCACUCCUUCCUCCAGGCUCUGACAACACUUUUUUUCUACCUCUGGUGUAGCAAUUAACGUGUUGCAGUAUAGUCUGUGUAAUUGUUUGUCUGUCUUGACUCAACGAGAAGCUUCUGGAACACAGGGACCAUAGUGUGCUUAUUCAUCCGUCGCAUCCCCUGCACCCAGAACAGUGCCUAGUCCAGAACAGGUGCUGUGUUACUGAUUUUUAAAUGACUUCCCUGCCAUAGUAUGAGAUUUUUCUUCUUGGGGUCCAGAGCUACUUAAGAGUAUGGUUAUUGCGAUCGUGGAAACUGUUGACAAGUCCCAGCUCUGCUAAUUCCUUGACAUUCAUUCUUUCAAGUUUCUUCAUUCUGUAAAAUGCGGAUGUACUGAUACCUGCCUCGUGGAAAUAAGUUUCUGCAAAUGUUUUCAGUUUUGUUUUGUUUUUGUUUUUUCAUAAUUAUAGAUCUAUUCAGGUUUUCUGCUGUUUACUCCUGAGUCAAUUAAUGUAAUUUAUGUUUUCCUAAGAAUCAUUCAUAUCUUGUUUUAAUUUAUUUUCAUAAAGUAAUAAGUAUUCUCCUAUUUAUUGACUUCCUCUAUCUGGUUAUAUCACAGUCCUAAUUUGUAUAUAUAUGUGCUCUUUCUCUUUCCCUUUUUCUAGAGAGAAAUAUGUUAAAAUGUUGAUAGUAGCUUUCUCUGGCAAUAAGAUUAUGGGUUAUUUUUAUAUUUUUCUGUUUUUUCCAAAUGCUCAGAAAUCAAUGGAUAUAUUACUCAUGUAGUCACAAAAAAUACUUAAUAAAAUAUCUUUCUUUAUUUCCAAGUAUGGAAGUUGAGACAGAAACAUAAUAUAGAUCAUGGCCUUAGAGUGGAAUCAGGAAACCUGUACUGGCUCAGUCACUUUUUUCUAUGAGAUUAUUUCCUUCUUCAAAAGGACUCCUUUUUCCAGGGACUCUCGGUUCUGAUAGUCACAUUAUUAAUCUACCAAAAUCAGGGGGAUGAUCACAGUCAUGCUGCCCUAAUGCCACUCAUACUUGCCUGGUGUGCAGGUAUGUGAAUGAUGUCAGACAUUGGAUCAGGAAUGGAAGAUUCACAAAAUAGUAUUCUGUCAACAUGACACAGACAAUAUUUGAUUGAAUUUUUAAAUCUAAAUCUACACAGACCCAUCGUUUCUAAACUUAUAAAAAUACUUAUGUUCUAUUCACUUGUUCCUUUAUCCAAAAACAAAAACAAAAAAUCCUCUUACCUCUAGAAGAUGUGUUUGUAAAAGAAUUCUAAUUCCCUGGUUUUCUUUAUAUAGAGAAUGUCUGAAUGAUGUCAAAAAUCCAAUACUUUCCUUUAGAAGAAAAUUAACCAGGAAAUAAAAAAGGGGGUUAGUCAUUAUUCUUUAAAUCACAGUAUCUCUUAGCUAUUUCACACAGGAAGUGGAAAAAUUAAGCAGCAUUAAAAUGUCCGCUUGAUGUGAGCCUGUUGUUAAUUUCAAUACUUUAUAAAUGGUAGUUAAGCAUAAAGAUGAAAAAUAUGUACAUGUGUUUUAUUUAAUCUUUGAGCCCUAAGACUUAUGAUGCUUAGCAAUGUCUGUAUAAAAAGAUAAAGUAUUCUAAGUAUUUAUCACAUUUACUAUAUUCUAACAGUUUUUGUUGUCAGAGAAUUUGCUAUAAAAUGAUAUAAACAUUGUAAUUUAAACCUAUGCAUGGUUUUUGGAAAAAGUAACAGGCUGAGAUAAUAAAAGGCAACUAAGUAUCUGAGGGUUAAAAUAGAAUUAAACCAAUAAUUAGAAUGUACUAAAAUUAGGCAGAUAGUUAGGCUUGAAUUUCAACCUUAUAAUUACAUAUAUUUUAGGCAUUUAGAGUGGGUAAAUUUGAAUGUUUCCUUAUGAAUGCUUUACUAAUAAACUUUUUAAAAAUCAA
Molecule: long non-coding RNA, 3885 nt
Organism: Miniopterus natalensis
Lineage: Eukaryota; Metazoa; Chordata; Mammalia; Chiroptera; Miniopteridae
Source: RefSeq, a predicted model, not a curated record